UGGCUCAGGAUGAACGCUGGCGGUAUGCUUAACACAUGCAAGUCGAACGAACUCUUCGGAGUUAGUGGCGGACGGGUGAGUAACGGGUGAGAAUCUACCUCAAGGACGGGGACAACAGCAGGAAACUGGUGCUAAUACCCGAUAAGCUGAAAAGUGAAAGAUUUAUUGCCGAGAGAGGAGCUCGCGUCCGAUUAGCUAGUUGGAAGGGUAAAAGCCUACCAAGGCGACGAUCGGUAGCUGGUCUGAGAGGAUGAGCAGCCACACUGGGACUGAGACACGGCCCAGACUCCUACGGGAGGCAGCAGUGGGGAAUUUUCCGCAAUGGGCGAAAGCCUGACGGAGCAAUACCGCGUGAGGGAAGAAGGCUUUUGGGUUGUAAACCUCUUUUGUCAGGGAAGAAGAAUUGACGGUACCUGAAGAAAAAGCAUCGGCUAACUCCGUGCCAGCAGCCGCGGUAAUACGGAGGAUGCAAGCGUUAUCCGGAAUCAUUGGGCGUAAAGGGUCCGCAGGUGGCGAAUAAAGUCUGCUGUUAAAGACCGGGGCUUAACUCCGGAAAGGCAGUGGAAACUGAUUAGCUAGAGUACGGUAGGGGUAGAGGGAAUUCCCAGUGUAGCGGUGAAAUGCGUAGAUAUUGGGAAGAACACCGGUGGCGAAAGCGCUCUACUAGGCCGAAACUGACACUGAGGGACGAAAGCUAGGGUAGCGAAAGGGAUUAGAUACCCCUGUAGUCUUAGCGGGUAAACGAUGGAUGACUACGUGAUAAGCUUGUAUCGACCCGAGCUGUGCCGAAGCUAACGCGAUAAGUAUCCCGCCUGGGGAGUACGCACGCAAGUGUGAAACUCAAAGGAAUUGACGGGGGCCCGCACAAGCGGUGGAGUAUGUGGUUUAAUUCGAUGCAACGCGAAGAACCUUACCAGGGCUUGACAUGUCGCGAAUCUAGCGGAAACGUUAGAGUGCCUUAGGGAAUGCGAACACAGGUGGUGCAUGGCUGUCGUCAGCUCGUGUCGUGAGAUGUUGGGUUAAGUCCCGCAACGAGCGCAACCCUCGUCCUUAGUUGCCAAUAUUAAGUUAGGCACUCUAGGGAGACUGCCGGGGACAACUCGGAGGAAGGUGGGGAUGACGUCAAGUCAGCAUGCCCCUUACGUCCUGGGCGACACACGUACUACAAUGGUUGGGACAAAGGGCAGCAAGCUCGCGAGAGUAAGCGAAUCUCAUCAAACCCAGCCAAAGUUCAAAUUGCAGGCUGCAACUCGCCUGCAUGAAGUAGGAAUCGCUAGUAAUCGCAGGUCAGCAUACUGCGGUGAAUUCGUUCCCGGGCCUUGUACACACCGCCCGUCACACCAUGGAAGCUGGCUACGCCCGAAGUCGUUACCCUAACCCUAAGGGGAGGGGGAUGCCGAAGGUAGAGCUAGUGACUGGGGUGA
Molecule: ribosomal RNA, 1424 nt
Filed under: uncultured Prochloron sp.
Lineage: Bacteria; Bacillati; Cyanobacteriota; Cyanophyceae; Chroococcales; Prochloraceae
Description: bacterial SSU rRNA
Rfam family: Bacterial small subunit ribosomal RNA
Source: RNAcentral